AGUGAACGCUGGCGGUAGGCCUAACACAUGCAAGUCGAACGGCAGCACAGUAAGAGCUUGCUCUUACGGGUGGCGAGUGGCGGACGGGUGAGGAAUACAUCGGAAUCUACUUUUUCGUGGGGGAUAACGUAGGGAAACUUACGCUAAUACCGCAUACGACCUACGGGUGAAAGCAGGGGAUCUUCGGACCUUGCGCGAUUGAAUGAGCCGAUGUCGGAUUAGCUAGUUGGCGGGGUAAAGGCCCACCAAGGCGACGAUCCGUAGCUGGUCUGAGAGGAUGAACAGGCAAAAUGGGAAUUGGGAAACGGUCCAAAUCCCAACGGAAGGAAGAGUGGGGGAAAAUGGGAAAAUGGGGGAAAGCUGAACCCAGCAAUACGGGGGGGGGAAAGAAGGCUUUCGGGUGGUAAAGCCCUUUUGUGGGAAAAAAAAGGAGGAAGGUAAAUACCCGCCUGUUUGGAGGGAACCAAAGGAAAAGCACCGGCUAACUUCGUG
RNAcentral lists this ribosomal RNA (492 nucleotides) under uncultured bacterium. RNAcentral's name for it is "partial 16S ribosomal RNA". It matches the Rfam family "Bacterial small subunit ribosomal RNA", at positions 29 to 507 of the family's 1533-position model. The record is from RNAcentral.